This 1499-nucleotide ribosomal RNA is filed under the name uncultured Bordetella sp. Its description in RNAcentral is "partial 16S-23S ribosomal RNA intergenic spacer". It matches the Rfam family "Bacterial small subunit ribosomal RNA". The record is from RNAcentral. Lineage: Bacteria; Pseudomonadati; Pseudomonadota; Betaproteobacteria; Burkholderiales; Alcaligenaceae.
GGUUCGAUUCUGGCUCAGAUUGAACGCUGGCGGAUGCUUUACACAUGCAAGUCGAACGCGGCAGCACGGACUUCGGUCUGGUGGCGAGUGGCGAACGGGUGAGUAAUGUAUCGGAACGUGCCUGUGUAGCGGGGGAUAACUACGCGAAAGCGUAGCUAAUACCGCAUACGCCCUUCGGGGGAAAGCGGGGACCUCGGGCCUCGCACUAUUAGAGCGCCGAUAUCGGAUUUUCACGGUUGGUGGGGUAACGGCUCUCACCAAGGCGACGAUCCGUAGCUGGUUUGAGAGGACGACCAGCCACACUGGGACUGGAGACACGGCCCAGACCCCUACGGGAGGCAGCAGUGGGGAAUUUUGGACAAUGGGGGAAACCCCGGAUCCAGCCAUCCUGCGUGUGCGAUGAAGGCCUUCGGGUUGUAAAGCACUUUUGGUGUGAAGAAACGGCACGGAUAAUACCCGUGCAACUGACGGUACCUGCAGAAUAAGCACCGGCUAAUCCGCCGUGCCCGCAGCCGCGGUAAUACGUAGGGUGCAAAAGCGUUAAUCGGAAUUACUGGGCGUAAAGCGGCAGGCGGUUCGGAAAGAAAGAUGUGAAAUCCCAGAGCUUAAUCCCUUUGGAAUCCGCAUUUUUUAACUACCGAGCUUAGAGUGUGUCAGAGGGAGGUGGAAUUCCGCGGCAGUGAAAUGCAGAUAUGAGGAACACCGAUGGCGAAGGCAGCCUCCCGGGGAUAAACACUGACGCUCUCGCAACGAAAGUGUGGGGAGCAAACAGGAUUAGGAUACCCUGGUAGUCCACGCCCUAAACGAUGUCAAAUUUAGCUGUUGGGGCCUUCGGGCCUUGUAGCGCAGCUAACGCGUGAAGUUGACCGCUCAGGGAGCAUGGUCGCAAGAUUAAAACUCAAAGGAAUUGACGGGGACCCGCACAAGCGGUGGAUGAUGUGGAUUAAUUCGAUGCAAAACGCGAAAAACCUUACCUACCCUUGACAUGUCUGGAAUCCCGAAGAGAUUUGGGAGUGCUCGCAAGAGAACCGGAACACAGGUGCUGCAUGGCUGUCGUCAGCUCGUGUCGUGAGAUGUUGGGUUAAGUCCCGCAACGAGCGCAACCCUUGCCGGGCUAGUUGCUACGAAAGGGCACUCCACGAGACUGUUGCGACAAACCGGAGGAAGGUGGGGAUGACGUCAAGUCCUCAUGCGGCCCUUAUGGGUAGGGCUUCACACGUCACACAACAAUGGUCGGGACAGAGGGUCGCCAACCCGCGAGGGGAGCCAAUCCCAGAAACCCGAUCGUAGUCCGGACGCAGUCUGCAACUCGACUGCGUGAAGUCGGAAUCGCUAGUAAUCGCGGAUCAGCAUGUCGCGGUGGAAUACGUUCCCGGGUCUUGUACACACCGCCUGUCACACCAUGGGAGUGGGUUUUUAUCAAGAAGUGGCUAGUCAACUGCAAGAGGGCGAUUACCACGGUAGGAUUCAUGACUGGGGUGGAAGUCGUAACAAGGUAA